Molecule: ribosomal RNA, 856 nt
Filed under: uncultured Neocallimastigales
Lineage: Eukaryota; Fungi; Neocallimastigomycota; Neocallimastigomycetes; Neocallimastigales
Description: partial large subunit ribosomal RNA
Rfam family: Eukaryotic large subunit ribosomal RNA
Source: RNAcentral
CGCAUCUGUGCAUGCAGCAUAUCAAUAAGCGGAGGAAAAGUCAACUACCUACGCUUAGGAUGUUGAAGAUGUAGCACAUCAUACACGCAUGACACACUGCAUAUCAAUAAGCGGAGGAAAAGAAACUAACAAGGAUUCCCCUAGUAACGGCGAGUGAAGCGGGAAGAGCUCAAAUUUGAAAUCUUAAAGGGUUUCCCUUUACGAAUUGUAGUUUAAAGAAGUGUUUUCUGUUGAAGUUUUGGUAAAAGUUCUUUGGAAUAGGACAUCAUAGAGGGUGAGGAUCCCGUAUUUGACCAUUACUUUCAGCUGUGUGAUACACUUUCAAAGAGUCGGAUUGUUUGGGAAUGCAGUCCAAAAUGGGUGGUAAAUUUCAUCUAAAGCUAAAUAUUGGCGAGAGACCGAUAGCGAACAAGUACCGUGAGGGAAAGAUGAAAAGAACUUUGAAAAGAGAGUUAAACAGUACGUGAAAUUGUCAAAAGGGAAGCGUUUGACACCAGUGUUGUUUUCUCGAAAAUCAAUUAAAAAGAGUUAGAUUUUGUUGUGUAUUGACCUUAACAGCUUGCAUUUCAAUUUUCUUGCUUUUUUUAAUGCACUUUUCGUUUAACAAGUCAACAUCAGUUUCUUUUGUUGUAAAAAGGUCAUUGGAAGGUGGCUUUCUUUUCGGAGAAAGUGUUUAUAGCCUUUGACUCCUGCAAUCGGAGAGACUGAGGUCUGCAGCGUAGAUCCUUCGGGGUUAGAUACAUUUGUGCUAAGUUAUAGCUUUUUAUAGACAACUUGUUGACUAUGAUUAGUCUUGUAGCUUACUCGCUUAUGCUAUUUUACCUACGCUUAGGAUGUUGAUCUGUAGUGCGUGCGC